CCUACGGGGGGCUGCAGUGGGGAAUAUUGCACAAUGGGGGAAACCCUGAUGCAGCGACGCCGCGUGAGUGAAGAAGUAAUUCGUUAUGUAAAGCUCUAUCAGCAGGGAAGAAAAUGACGGUACCUGAGUAAGAAGCCCCGGCUAACUACGUUCCAGCAGCCGCGGGAAUACGUAGGGGGCAAGCGUUAUCCGGAUGUACUGGGUGUAAAGGGAGCGUAGACGGCUGUGCAAGUCUGGAGUGAAAGGCGGGGGCUCAACCCCCGGACUGCUCUGGAAACUGUACGGCUGGAGUGCAGGAGAGGUAAGUGGAAUUCCUAGUGUAGCGGUGAAAUGCGUAGAUAUUAGGAGGAACACCAGUGGCGAAGGCGGCUUACUGGACUGUAACUGACGUUGAGGCUCGAAAGCGUGGGGAGCAAACAGGAUUAGAUACCCGAGUAGUG
RNAcentral lists this ribosomal RNA (440 nucleotides) under uncultured bacterium. RNAcentral describes it as "partial 16S ribosomal RNA". It matches the Rfam family "Bacterial small subunit ribosomal RNA", at positions 338 to 795 of the family's 1533-position model. The record is from RNAcentral.